Molecule: transfer RNA, 73 nt
Filed under: Salmo salar (Atlantic salmon)
Lineage: Eukaryota; Metazoa; Chordata; Actinopteri; Salmoniformes; Salmonidae
Rfam family: tRNA
About the family: Transfer RNA (tRNA) molecules are approximately 80 nucleotides in length. Their secondary structure includes four short double-helical elements and three loops (D, anti-codon, and T loops).
Source: Rfam by way of RNAcentral
GCCGAAAUAGCUCAGUUGGGAGAGCGUUAGACUGAAGAUCUAAAGUUCCUUGGUUCGACCCGGGGUUUUGGCA